Molecule: unclassified non-coding RNA, 200 nt
Filed under: Durella sp.
Lineage: Eukaryota; Fungi; Ascomycota; Leotiomycetes; Helotiales
Description: partial internal transcribed spacer 2
Source: RNAcentral
UUAAGUUCAGCGGGUAUCCCUACCUGAUCCGAGGUCAACCUAAGAAAGUUGGGGUUUUUGGCGGGUGUUUCUAGCACUCAACAGCGGAAUAAUUACUACGCUGAGAGCUUUAUAGCACCGCCACUGUUUUUAAGGGAUGCAAGAAUGCAAGCCCCAAUACCGCUUGCGCGAUGUGGUCUAAUGACGCUCGAACAGGCAUG